GUGUAAGUCGUUGUAUUAUACAUUGAAAGAAUGUAGAUGGCAUAAGUCUGCUAAGUUUUGGCGACAAUGAUCAUUGACAAGAAUCGGAGCGCGGCAGCUCUAUGCGUCUUCAAGAGAACAUCUUUCUGUAUUGGCUCAACUGUUGAACCAUGAAAGUUUUACAAACACCAGCAGCAAAGAGUAUCUAUUCAAAACUUCCGGAGAAAGGGAAUACUUAACUAAUUAGACUUAUAUUUUGAUUGAAUAAUCUUUAUAUAUCAAAGUGUUUGCAUAUUUUGCAUGUAUUCAUUUGUAUAUAUUUAUUUAUUGUUUUUUUACUUAUAUAUAUCUGUAUCACCAUUGAAACUCUUCAUUAAAUUUUGUGAAAUGAAAA
This is a long non-coding RNA of Xenia sp. Carnegie-2017, 373 nucleotides long. RefSeq lists it as uncharacterized. The transcript has 2 exons. NCBI's taxonomy places the organism in Eukaryota, Metazoa, Cnidaria, Anthozoa, Malacalcyonacea, Xeniidae. The record is from RefSeq and is a predicted model, not a curated record.